GGCAGUGCAGCCUAGUGGCUAGAGCACUAGACUGGGAAUCAGGAGACCUGGGCUCUAUUUCUAGCUCUGCCA
Non-coding RNA from Chelonia mydas (Green sea turtle), 72 nucleotides. The record is from Rfam. Lineage: Eukaryota; Metazoa; Chordata; Testudines; Cheloniidae.